Molecule: ribosomal RNA, 443 nt
Filed under: uncultured bacterium
Lineage: Bacteria
Description: partial 16S ribosomal RNA
Rfam family: Bacterial small subunit ribosomal RNA
Source: RNAcentral
CCUACGGGUGGCAGCAGUGGGGAAUAUUGGGCAAUGGGCGCAAGCCUGACCCAGCAACGCCGCGUGAAGGAAGAAGGCUUUCGGGUUGUAAACUUCUUUUCUCAGGGACGAAGCAAGUGACGGUACCUGAGGACUAAGCCACGGCUAACUACGUGCCAGCAGCCGCGGGAAUACGUAGGUGGCAAGCUUUAUCCGGAUUUAACGGGUGUAAAGGGCGUGUAGGCGGGACUGCAAGUCAGAUGUGAAAACCACGGGCUAAACCUGUGGCCUGCAUUUGAAACUGUAGUUCUUGAGUACUGGGGAGGCAGACGGAAUUCCUAGUGUAGCGGUGAAAUGCGUAGAUAUUAGGAGGAACACCAGUGGCGAAGGCGGUCUGCUGGACAGCAACUGACGCUGAGGCGCGAAAGCGUGGGGAGCAAACAGGAUUAGAUACCCUAGUAGUC